GAUGAACGCUGGCGGCGUGCCUAAUACAUGCAAGUCGAGCGAACAGACGAGGAGCUUGCUCCUCUGACGUUAGCGGCGGACGGGUGAGUAACACGUGGAUAACCUACCUAUAAGACUGGGAUAACUUCGGGAAACCGGAGCUAAUACCGGAUAACAUGUUGAACCGCAUGGUUCAACAGUGAAAGACGGUCUUGCUGUCACUUAUAGAUGGAUCCGCGCCGCAUUAGCUAGUUGGUAAGGUAACGGUUUACCAAGGCAACGAUGCGUAGCCGACCUGAGAGGGUGAUCGGCCACACUGGAACUGAGACACGGUCCAGACUCCUACGGGAGGCAGCAGUAGGGAAUCUUCCGCAAUGGGCGAAAGCCUGACGGAGCAACGCCGCGUGAGUGAAGAAGGUCUUCGGAUCGUAAAACUCUGUUAUUAGGGAAGAACAAAUGUGUAAGUAACUAUGCACGUCCUGACGGUACCUAAUCAGAAAGCCACGGCUAACUACGUG
Molecule: ribosomal RNA, 497 nt
Filed under: uncultured bacterium
Lineage: Bacteria
Description: partial 16S ribosomal RNA
Rfam family: Bacterial small subunit ribosomal RNA
Source: RNAcentral